This 305-nucleotide ribosomal RNA is filed under the name uncultured bacterium. Its description in RNAcentral is "bacterial SSU rRNA". It matches the Rfam family "Bacterial small subunit ribosomal RNA", at positions 335 to 656 of the family's 1533-position model. The record is from RNAcentral.
GGCCUACGGGGCGCAGCAGUGGGGAAUAUUGGGCAAUGGGCGCAAGCCUGACCCAGCGACGCCGCGUGAGGGAAGACGGUCUUCGGAUUGUAAACCUCUUUCAGCAGGGAAGACAAAAGGACGGUACCUGCAGAAGAAGCCACGGCUAACUACGUGCCAGCAGCCGCGGUAAUACGUAGGUGGCAAGCGUUGUCCGGAUUUACUGGGUGUAAAGGGCGUGUAGCCGGGUUGACAAGUCAGAUGUGAAAUCCUGCGGCUUAACCGCAGAACUGCAUUUGAAACUGUUGACCUUGAGUACUGGAGAG